UGAAACCGGCAAAUUUUUAUU
Molecule: non-coding RNA, 21 nt
Filed under: Caenorhabditis elegans
Lineage: Eukaryota; Metazoa; Nematoda; Chromadorea; Rhabditida; Rhabditidae
Source: RNAcentral